UGGGGAAUCUUGCGCAAUGGGCGAAAGCCUGACGCAGCCAUGCCGCGUGAGUGAUGAAGGCCUUAGGGUUGUAAAACUCUUUCACCGGGGACGAUAAUGACGGUACCCGGAGAAGAAGCCCCGGCUAACUUCGUGCCAGCAGCCGCGGUAAUACGAAGGGGGCUAGCGUUGCUCGGAAUUACUGGGCGUAAAGGGCGCGUAGGCGGAUCAGCAAGUUGGGGGUGAAAGCCCGGGGCUCAACCUCGGAAUUGCCUUCAAAACUGCUGAUCUAGAGUACGGGAGAGGUGUGUGGAACUCCGAGUGUAGAGGUGAAAUUCGUAGAUAUUCGGAAGAACACCAGUGGCGAAGGCGACACACUGGCCCGUUACUGACGCUGAGGCGCGAAAGCGUGGGGAGCAAACAGGAUUAGAUACCCUGGUAGUCCGCGCUGUAAACGAUGAUUGCUAGUUGUCGGCAGGCAUGCCUGUCGGUGACGCAGCUAACGCAUUAAGCAAUCCGCCUGGGGAGUACGGUCGCAAGAUUAAAAACUUAAAUGAAUUGACGGGGUCAUAGCUGUUUCCU
Molecule: ribosomal RNA, 561 nt
Filed under: uncultured bacterium
Lineage: Bacteria
Description: partial 16S ribosomal RNA
Rfam family: Bacterial small subunit ribosomal RNA
Source: RNAcentral